Molecule: ribosomal RNA, 851 nt
Filed under: uncultured bacterium
Lineage: Bacteria
Description: bacterial SSU rRNA
Rfam family: Bacterial small subunit ribosomal RNA
Source: RNAcentral
CCCGCAAGGGUGAGUAAAGCGGCGCACGGGUGCGUAACACGUGGGUAAUCUUCCUUGGAGCCCGGAAUAACUCCCCGAAAGGGGUGCUAAUGCCGGAUGAGACCACGGGAUCCCCGGAUCCUGAGGGAAAAGGCGGCCUCUGUACACAAGCUGUCACUCCAAGAUGAGCCCGCGGCCCAUCAGCUAGUUGGCGGGGUAAUGGCCCACCAAGGCUACGACGGGUAGCUGGUCUGAGAGGACGAUCAGCCACACUGGAACUGAGACACGGUCCAGACUCCUACGGGAGGCAGCAGUGGGGAAUCUUGCGCAAUGGGCGAAAGCCUGACGCAGCAACGCCGCGUGUGUGAUGAAGGUCUUCGGAUCGUAAAGCACUGUCGGGAGGGACGAAUAAGGCGGCGGCUAACAUCCGCAGCCGAUGACGGUACCUCCAAAGGAAGCACCGGCUAACUCUGUGCCAGCAGCCGCGGUAAUACAGAGGGUGCUAGCGUUGUUCGGAAUUAUUGGGCGUAAAGCGCGUGUAGGCGGCCUUGCAAGUUGGGUGUGAAAGCCCUCGGCUUAACCGAGGAAGUGCGCCCAAAACUACAGGGCUUGAGUACCGGAGAGGGUGGCGGAAUUCCCGGUGUAGAGGUGAAAUUCGUAGAUAUCGGGAGGAACACCAGUGGCGAAGGCGGCCACCUGGACGGAUACUGACGCUGAGACGCGAAAGCGUGGGUAGCAAACAGGAUUAGAUACCCUGGUAGUCCACGCUGUAAACGAUGAGCGCUAGGUGUUGUGGGUGUUGACCCCCGCAGUGCCGCAGCUAACGCAUUAAGCGCUCCGCCUGGGAAGUACGGCCGCAAGGCUAAAACUCA